AAUGGAGGAAACUCUGAUGCAGCGAUGCCGCGUGAGUGGAGAAGGCCUUUGGGUUGUAAAGCUCUUUCGUCGGGGAAGAAAAUGACUGUACCCGAAUAAGAAGGUCCGGCUAACUUCGUGCCAGCAGCCGCGGUAAUACGAAGGGACCUAGCGUAGUUCGGAAUUACUGGGCUUAAAGAGUUCGUAGGUGGUUGAAAAAGUUGGUGGUGAAAUCCCAGAGCUUAACUCUGGAACUGCCAUCAAAACUUUUCAGCUAGAGUAUGAUAGAGGAAAGCAGAAUUUCUAGUGUAGAGGUGAAAUUCGUAGAUAUUAGAAAGAAUACCAAUUGCGAAGGCAGCUUUCUGGAUCAUUACUGACACUGAGGAACGAAAGCAUGGGUAGCGAAGAGGAUU
This 392-nucleotide ribosomal RNA is filed under the name uncultured Gammaproteobacteria bacterium. RNAcentral describes it as "bacterial SSU rRNA". It matches the Rfam family "Bacterial small subunit ribosomal RNA", at positions 370 to 779 of the family's 1533-position model. Lineage: Bacteria; Pseudomonadati; Pseudomonadota; Gammaproteobacteria. The record is from RNAcentral.